GCCCUGUUGGCUCAGUGGUAAAGCGCGUCACUAGUAAUGAUGAGAUCACUGGUUCGAUUCCAGUACAGGGCA
This is a transfer RNA of Neonectria ditissima, 72 nucleotides long. It matches the Rfam family "tRNA". From Rfam's summary of the family: Transfer RNA (tRNA) molecules are approximately 80 nucleotides in length. Their secondary structure includes four short double-helical elements and three loops (D, anti-codon, and T loops). The record is from Rfam. Lineage: Eukaryota; Fungi; Ascomycota; Sordariomycetes; Hypocreales; Nectriaceae.